Long non-coding RNA from Dreissena polymorpha, 1611 nucleotides. RefSeq lists it as uncharacterized. The transcript is spliced from 5 exons. NCBI's taxonomy places the organism in Eukaryota, Metazoa, Mollusca, Bivalvia, Myida, Dreissenidae. The record is from RefSeq and is a predicted model, not a curated record.
UUGCGAACAACAAGAAUUGGUUGGAGAAAUGCAAUGGUUACAGAAAAGAACAUAAACUACAGAUUGGAAAAUUUCUGCUGGCUGUACAAAAAACAUGCACUGUCGCACAGCAGCUUCCGUCAAAUUCAGCAGCAGGCAUUGUUAUUUCGAAUGUGGAUACAUUUGAGUUUAAGAGAAUACACGCGGGUAAAAACAGAGAUUAUGUUGUUACCAUCAACCAAAUAAAGCACGCGAACAACGAGUUGUACGUUUGUGCACAGGUACCAACUACGAUAACUGCAAUAUCACAUCUUGCAAAGCAGCACCUUAGGAAAAUAAAUGUCGCUCUCGAGCACCAGCGUUUCUGUCAAUCAUACCAGCAGAUAAUCGAUGCGAAAGGAUGGGGUGACUUCUUGGAAAUCGUUCUAUGUGAGAUAAAAACGAUAUUCCUGUCGCGUUGUUUAAGGCAGCGACGGCAAACACUACCAAGAAGACUGGGGCAGAAACUUCUCUAAUAAGCUGGAGUUUUGUCCGAUUUUAAAAGGAUGAGUGUUUACAUAUCAUGUUUUGAUAUUGAUGGAGAUUCUUGUGAAGAGAUCGAAAAAGAGCUACAAAAAACAUCAUAUGAACAUCAUACGACAUGAAAACACACCAGGAAGAUUCCUGCUCUCAGAUGGUGACAAUCGAGAAGGAUGGAUAAUAGUUAUUGUAUCGAAAGAAUCGCUGAAAAGCGAACUGCUUUCUUUCAAUCUCAUAAAAUGCCUGACUGCCGAUGUUGAUGACGGCAGAUUGAGGGUCCUGCUUGUAUUGCGCAGCGGUGUGAAUAUCUCAGAAGUACCAAUAUGUAUUCGUUGGGUUACAGUAUUCAGCGAAGAUGAGAAAUCCUACAAAAACUGGAUUGAGAACCAGUAGAUAUUGGCAGGGCACUUCCAGCAGGGGAUGUUAUGUUGGGCCUUUGUCUUGAACUACCUGAAUAUUGUGCUGACGACCAGCAGUAAGUGUCAGUGUACUCGGGGAUUUUAUUUGUUCUGCCGCGUAGAUAAUUGAUUCCAUGCAUCCUACGGUAAAUUGAACUUUGGGUAAAGUUUAACAUUAACCUAUGUCUUAAGUGUUGAAACAAUAGUGUUAAUAUGUGUCUACACGUAGUCUAUACGUACCGAUCCGGCAUUGGAUGUUUUGGUUUUGGUAUAAAUGUAUGAAAAAAGGAAUUCCGAUUAAACAAAUUAAUGUUUUCGGUACAUUAUUUUUAAGCCCAAUUGCUAUGCAAUACAGACAUUAAAUUUUCUAUUUGUUUCGACAUUUUGUAAUCAUCUACAUGGGUUUCGUGUAUGCAUAAUAUAUUUUGUUUUAUUAAUUAAAAUGUAAUAUUUAAUGAAGGUUUGUUUUUGUUUGGAUCGAAAUUCGUUAAUAUUUAUAGUUUCUAUGUUUAACUCCAUGUUCUAGUUUAUAACUCAGGUUGUAGUUAAAAGAAAAAAUGGCGACGUCCAUGAUUUAGUGAUAGGAUUGAAAAACCGAUAAUAGUGUUUAAAAGAUUUAAACCCGGUAGAAAAGAGACUAGGCCAACGAUUUUGUACUCGCUGUAAUGAAUAUACUACGUACCGAAGUAAUUUGGAAACAGAUAGAUGCGCUCAA